Molecule: small RNA, 85 nt
Filed under: Manihot esculenta (cassava)
Lineage: Eukaryota; Viridiplantae; Streptophyta; Magnoliopsida; Malpighiales; Euphorbiaceae
Description: precursor microRNA miR477c
Source: RNAcentral
AAGCUGUCAAUCUCCCUCAAAGGGUUCCAACUUCCAAUAUCCCAGGCUAUGGAAAUGUUGGAGGCCUUUGCGGGAGAUUGAAGGC